RNAcentral lists this ribosomal RNA (611 nucleotides) under uncultured beta proteobacterium. RNAcentral's name for it is "bacterial SSU rRNA". It matches the Rfam family "Bacterial small subunit ribosomal RNA", at positions 149 to 755 of the family's 1533-position model. The record is from RNAcentral. Lineage: Bacteria; Pseudomonadati; Pseudomonadota; Betaproteobacteria.
AAGCGAAAGCUUUGCUAAUACCGCAUACGAUCUCAGGAUGAAAGCAGGGGACCGCAAGGCCUUGCGCUCACGGAGCGGCCGAUGGCAGAUUAGGUAGUUGGUGGGAUAAAAGCUUACCAAGCCGACGAUCUGUAGCUGGUCUGAGAGGACGACCAGCCACACUGGGACUGAGACACGGCCCAGACUCCUACGGGAGGCAGCAGUGGGGAAUUUUGGACAAUGGGCGCAAGCCUGAUCCAGCCAUGCCGCGUGCAGGAUGAAGGCCUUCGGGUUGUAAACUGCUUUUGUACGGAACGAAAAGACUCUGGUUAAUACCUGGGGUCCAUGACGGUACCGUAAGAGUAAGCACCGGCUAACUACGUGCCAGCAGCCGCGGUAAUACGUAGGGUGCGAGCGUUAAUCGGAAUUACUGGGCGUAAAGCGUGCGCAGGCGGUUAUGUAAGACAGAUGUGAAAUCCCCGGGCUCAACCUGGGAACUGCAUUUGUGACUGCAUAGCUAGAGUACGGCAGAGGGGGAUGGAAUUCCGCGUGUAGCAGUGAAAUGCGUAGAUAUGCGGAGGAACACCGAUGGCGAAGGCAAUCCCCUGGGCCUGUACUGACGCUCAUGCACG